UACGAACUGUGCAAACGUUAUUCGGAAUCACUGGGCUUAAAGGGUGCGUAGGCGGUCAUCUAAGUAGGGUGUGAAAUCCCUCGGCUUAACCGAGGAAUUGCGCCCUAAACUGGAUGGCUAGAGUGAGAUAGGGGUGUGCGGAACUUCCGGUGGAGCGGUGAAAUGUGUUGAUAUCGGAAGGAACGCCGGUGGCGAAAGCGGCACACUGGGUCUUAACUGACGCUGAGGCACGAAAGCCAGGGGAGCAAACGGG
RNAcentral lists this ribosomal RNA (253 nucleotides) under uncultured bacterium. RNAcentral's name for it is "partial 16S ribosomal RNA". It matches the Rfam family "Bacterial small subunit ribosomal RNA", at positions 524 to 776 of the family's 1533-position model. The record is from RNAcentral.